ACAAGAACGACUCUCGGUAAUGGAUAUCUCAGCUCUCGCAUCGAUGAAGAACGUAGCAAAAUGCGGUACUUGGUGUGAAUUGCAGAAUCCCGUGAACCAUCGAGUCUUUGAACGCAAGUUACGCCCGAAGCCGUUAGGUUGAGGGCACGUCUGCCUGGGUGUCACAC
RNAcentral lists this ribosomal RNA (167 nucleotides) under Krameria pauciflora. RNAcentral describes it as "5.8S ribosomal RNA". It matches the Rfam family "5.8S ribosomal RNA". Rfam says of the family: 5.8S ribosomal RNA (5.8S rRNA) is a component of the large subunit of the eukaryotic ribosome. It is transcribed by RNA polymerase I as part of the 45S precursor that also contains 18S and 28S rRNA. Functionally, it is thought that 5.8S rRNA may be involved in ribosome translocation. The record is from RNAcentral. Lineage: Eukaryota; Viridiplantae; Streptophyta; Magnoliopsida; Zygophyllales; Krameriaceae.